Molecule: ribosomal RNA, 800 nt
Filed under: uncultured Glomus
Lineage: Eukaryota; Fungi; Glomeromycota; Glomeromycetes; Glomerales; Glomeraceae
Description: SSU rRNA
Rfam family: Eukaryotic small subunit ribosomal RNA
Source: RNAcentral
AUCAACUUUCGAUUGGUAGGAUAGAGGCCUACCAUGGUGGUAACGGGUAACGGGGUGUUAGGGCACGACACCGGAGAGGGAGCCUGAGAAACGGCUACCACAUCCAAGGAAGGCAGCAGGCGCGCAAAUUACCCAAUCCCGACACGGGGAGGUAGUGACAAUAAAUAACAAUACAGGGUUCUUUUGGAUCUUGUAAUUGGAAUGAGUACAAUUUAAAUCUCUUAACGAGGAACAAUUGGAGGGCAAGUCUGGUGCCAGCAGCCGCGGUAAUUCCAGCUCCAAUAGCGUAUAUUAAAGUUGUUGCAGUUAAAAAGCUCGUAGUUGAAUUUCGGGAUCAAUAUUUCGGUCAUGCCGUUGGUAUGCACUGUUAUCAUUGAUUUCUCACCUUCUAAAGAACCGUAAUGCCAUUAAUUUGGUGCUACGGGGAAUUAGGACUGUUACCUUGAAAAAAUUAGAGUGUUUAAGCAGGCUCACGCUUGAAUACAUUAGCAUGGAAUAGUGAAAUAGGACAUCCGAUUCUAUUUUGUUGGUUUCUAGGAUCACCGUAAUGAUUAAUAGGGAUAGUUGGGGGCAUUAGUAUUCAAUUGUCAGAGGUGAAAUUCUUGGAUUUAUUGAAGACUAGCUACUGCGAAAGCAUUUGCCAAGGAUGUUUUCAUUAAUCAAGAACGAAAGUUAGGGGAUCGGAGACGAUCAGAUACCGUCGUAGUCUUAACCAUAAACUAUGCCGACUAGGGAUCGGACGAAGUUAAUUUUAUAAUGACGCGUUCGGCACCUUACGGGAAACCAAAGUGUUUGGGUUC